UACGUAGGGUGCAAGCGUUUGUCCGGAAUUAUUGGGCGUAAAGAGCUCGUAGGCGGUUUGUUGCGUCGGCUGUGAAAACCUGAGGCUCAACCUCAGGCCUGCAGUCGAUACGAGCAGACUAGAGUGUUGCAGGGGAGACUGGAAUUCCUGGUGUAGCGGUGAAAUGCGCAGAUAUCAGGAGGAACACCGGUGGCGAAGGCGGGUCUCUGGGCAACAACUGACGCUGAGGAGCGAAAGCGUGGGGGAGCGAACAGG
Molecule: ribosomal RNA, 255 nt
Filed under: uncultured bacterium
Lineage: Bacteria
Description: partial 16S ribosomal RNA
Rfam family: Bacterial small subunit ribosomal RNA
Source: RNAcentral